AAAUAAAUUUUUUAUGGUUUAAAAAUUUUAUUAUAAGUUUAUUUUACAUAUAAAUUUUAGUGUUAAUUAUUAUUUAUUUUGAUAAUAAAUAAUUUUUUUGUAGUAAUUAAUUUUAAAAAUUUAAGAAAUUAAGAUUUAGUAAUAUUAAAAUUAAUAACUAAUUUUGUGCCAGCAGUUGCGGUUAUACAAAAAUUAAUUUAAAUUUUUUUUAGUGAUUAAUUAAUAUUUAUUUUAAUAAUUUAAAUUUUAAAUUAUUAAGUGAAAUUUUAAUUUAAUAAAAAAUUAUUUAAAAAUUAUGAUUUAAUAAAUUUAAUAUAAAACUAGGAUUAGAUACCCUAUUAUUAAAAUUUAAAUUAUUUAAACUAAAAUAGUAUGUAAUUUUAUUGAAACUUAAAUAAUUUGGCGGUAUUUUAGUUUAUUUAGAGGAAUCUGUUUAAUAAUUGAUAAUCCACGAAUUAAUUUACUUAAUUUAGAAUUUUGUAUAUCGUUGUUAAAAAAAUAUUUUUUAAUAAUAAUAAUAUUUAAAAAUUUAUAAUAAAAAUUAAAUCAGAUCAAGAUGCAGAUUAUAAUUAAGAAUAUAAUGGAUUACAAUAAAUUUAUUUUAUUGGAUUUUAAUAUGGAAAUGAUUAAAUGAAAUUGGAUUUAAAUGUAAUUUUAUUUAAUUUAAUAAAAUGAUUUUAUAUUAAAAUAUGUACAUAUUGCCCGUCGCUUUCAUUUAUAAGUUGAAAUAAGUCGUAACAAAGUAGAGGUACUGGAAAGUGUUUCUAGAAAGAU
RNAcentral lists this non-coding RNA (774 nucleotides) under Notonagemia analis scribae. The record is from RNAcentral. Lineage: Eukaryota; Metazoa; Arthropoda; Insecta; Lepidoptera; Sphingidae.